UUUGAUCCUGGCUCAGAUUGAACGCUGGCGGCAGGCCUAACACAUGCAAGUCGAGCGGUAGAGAGAAGCUUGCUUCUCUUGAGAGCGGCGGACGGGUGAGUAAUGCCUAGGAAUCUGCCUGAUAGUGGGGGAUAACGUCCGGAAACGGACGCUAAUACCGCAUACGUCCUACGGGAGAAAGUGGGGGCUCUUCGGACCUCACGCUAUCAGAUGAGCCUAGGUCGGAUUAGCUAGUUGGUGGGGUAAAGGCUCACCAAGGCGACGAUCCGUAACUGGUCUGAGAGGAUGAUCAGUCACACUGGAACUGAGACACGGUCCAGACUCCUACGGGAGGCAGCAGUGGGGAAUAUUGGACAAUGGGCGAAAGCCUGAUCCAGCCAUGCCGCGUGUGUGAAGAAGGUCUUCGGAUUGUAAAGCACUUUAAGUUGGGAGGAAGGGUCGUUACCUAAUACGUGACGAUUUUGACGUUACCGACAGAAUAAGCACCGGCUAACUCUGUG
RNAcentral lists this ribosomal RNA (500 nucleotides) under uncultured Pseudomonas sp. RNAcentral's name for it is "bacterial SSU rRNA". It matches the Rfam family "Bacterial small subunit ribosomal RNA", at positions 12 to 507 of the family's 1533-position model. The record is from RNAcentral. Lineage: Bacteria; Pseudomonadati; Pseudomonadota; Gammaproteobacteria; Pseudomonadales; Pseudomonadaceae.